Ficedula albicollis (Collared flycatcher) is the source of this 1689-nucleotide long non-coding RNA. The record is from Ensembl. Lineage: Eukaryota; Metazoa; Chordata; Aves; Passeriformes; Muscicapidae.
UUAUUAAAAAAAAAAAAAAAAAAAAAAAAAAAAAAAAAAAAAAAAAAAGGGGGGGGGGGGGGGAACCGCUCUUCCGAUCUGGUAACUCCCUGGUGGAGCAAGUACCAAACUACUGGCUCCAAGGACUGAAUAAAGAACGGGGUGGGGGUGGCUACUUUCUCAAAGCUGCUUAUACAGAAUUCCUACAUGAAGUGAUGUCUAUUCAGACACUGUUUGUGGAUGUAUGUAUAAAUUGUGUUUUUGGCAGCGUAAGCAUUCAGAAAGGUGUACACUUUUUCAGCUUAGGUCUGAGGCUCAGACUUGUUUAAUUAUGGUAAAUUUUACCUUUUGAUACAGCAAAAAUGCUACCGAAAGUCUCCUAAUGAUACCAAAAUUAAUCUGCUCAAGUUUUUUAUUCUAUAGGAGCAUUUAUCAACAAGUCAUGCAUUUAUACACCUCUGAAAUAAAAUAUUAAAAGUACUGUUUGUUCUACCAAGUAGAAAACAUCUAUAAAAUCUGUGCACAAUGUUUGUCUUCAGAAUUACUAGAUUUAGUUGCUUAUUACUUUCUCGCUUCAUGUAUUUAAGGAAGAAAAAAAAAAAGAAGUGUUCCUUAGGAGAACGUAGUCAAUGUAUAAAAAGAGAGAAAGGUAGACAAUAAAAAAAAAAAAAUUUAGACGAUUUCUUAAGCAGUUUGAUGCAUUCAUGCCAAACAUGUCAGGCACUUCCCUCCUCCCCCCACCUCCUGCAAAACAAAUUUUAAAAUGGUGUAAAUACACACCUGUUUUUAGAACUUAAGAAAAUCUGUUUAAAGUGGAUUCCAAAAUGCAAAAUGUAUGCUGUUGGAAAUCAGAAUAGUGUCUUUCUGAACUUUCAGGAAAUUAAAAUACUCUGCUCUCAGCAGCUUCGCUGUCCGGUCUAAUAUUCAGGACUCCUGAUUCUGUCUUCUCCCCACAACACUCCCCUCCCAAAAGGAACAAUCUUCCAGUGCUAAUUAGUGACCAGCUUUUAGAGAAAAGAAUCCCAACUUUAUGCAUUUUCCUUCGAGGCUUAAUAUCUCUACCAAUAAUGUACUCACAUCUGUCAUGUUUGUCAAUACAUAGUGCUAAAAUUAAAUUAGGCAGAAAAUAGCUGUUUUAGAGAAUUGCCCUGUCAUCGGCCUUUCUCAUCUCUGAUGCGUAUUCAGAGGCCCUUGAUUCCAGCUAUGGCAGAAGAAAGAAAGCUAAAUUUUCCAUUCUCCCAGGAAAAACAUGCUUUCAUGUGAAGUUCCCCUUUGCUUAGGUAGUAUGUCUGAAAAGAAGUCUUUAUGAUUAGCGGUAGCUGGCUGUCUGGACACAGCCUUUAGCUAAAACGUGUACGGGUUAUUAAACAGACCUCGGACACGGAAGACUGUAGCAGGGAUGAAGGGCACUGGCUGUUGUUCAGGCGUGCUGAACCCUGUUGGAUCCUCUGGGCAGGACUGAGUGGUCAGGGAACGGCAGUAAAACCAGCAAAUUGCGCUGGAAGAAAAAAACCAGCUAGCACAGAGGGGAUUGUUUUUUUUUUUCUUUUCUGUUAGUGAAAGUGAAAAAAUAAGCAAGCAAGCAAGGCAGGCAGCGCGGCGGCUGCGCUCGGGCGCGGAGCGAGGGGCGCGGGCAGCGGCUCAGCACCGCGGACAGCGCCUGGCCCGGCGCCGGGAGCCCGGGGGGGGGGGGGGGGGGGGGGGGGGGGG